This 1487-nucleotide ribosomal RNA is filed under the name metagenome. RNAcentral describes it as "bacterial SSU rRNA". It matches the Rfam family "Bacterial small subunit ribosomal RNA". The record is from RNAcentral.
AGAGUUUGAUCCUGGCUCAGAUUGAACGCUGGCGGCAUGCCUUACACAUGCAAGUCGAACGGUAACGCGGGGCAACCUGGCGACGAGUGGCGAACGGGUGAGUAAUACAUCGGAACGUGCCCAGUAGUGGGGGAUAGCCCGGCGAAAGCCGGAUUAAUACCGCAUACGACCCAAGGGUGAAAGCAGGGGAUCGCAAGACCUUGCGCUAUUGGAGCGGCCGAUGUCAGAUUAGGUAGUUGGUGGGGUAAAAGCCUACCAAGCCGACGAUCUGUAGCUGGUCUGAGAGGACGACCAGCCACACUGGGACUGAGACACGGCCCAGACUCCUACGGGAGGCAGCAGUGGGGAAUUUUGGACAAUGGGCGCAAGCCUGAUCCAGCCAUGCCGCGUGCGGGAAGAAGGCCUUCGGGUUGUAAACCGCUUUUGUCAGGGAAGAAACGCUCUGGGUUAAUACCCUGGGGUAAUGACGGUACCUGAAGAAUAAGCACCGGCUAACUACGUGCCAGCAGCCGCGGUAAUACGUAGGGUGCAAGCGUUAAUCGGAAUUACUGGGCGUAAAGCGUGCGCAGGCGGUCUUGCAAGACAGAUGUGAAAUCCCCGGGCUCAACCUGGGAACUGCAUUUGUGACUGCAAGGCUGGAGUGCGGCAGAGGGGGAUGGAAUUCCGCGUGUAGCAGUGAAAUGCGUAGAUAUGCGGAGGAACACCGAUGGCGAAGGCAAUCCCCUGGGCCUGCACUGACGCUCAUACACGAAAGCGUGGGGAGCAAACAGGAUUAGAUGCCCUGGUAGUCCACGCCCUAAACGAUGUCAACUGGUUGUUGGGAAGGUUCCUCCUCAGUAACGAAGCUAACGCGUGAAGUUGACCGCCUGGGGAGUACGGCCGCAAGGUUGAAACUCAAAGGAAUUGACGGGGACCCGCACAAGCGGUGGAUGAUGUGGUUUAAUUCGACGCAACGCGAAAAACCUUACCUACCCUUGACAUGUCUGGAAUUCCACAGAGAUGAGGAAGUGCUCGAAAGAGAACCAGAACACAGGUGCUGCAUGGCCGUCGUCAGCUCGUGUCGUGAGAUGUUGGGUUAAGUCCCGCAACGAGCGCAACCCUUGUCAUUAGUUGCUACGAAAGGGCACUCUAAUGAGACUGCCGGUGACAAACCGGAGGAAGGUGGGGAUGACGUCAGGUCAUCAUGGCCCUUAUGGGUAGGGCUACACACGUCAUACAAUGGCCGGUACAGAGGGCUGCCAACCCGCGAGGGGGAGCUAAUCCCAGAAAACCGGUCGUAGUCCGGAUCGCAGUCUGCAACUCGACUGCGUGAAGUCGGAAUCGCUAGUAAUCGCGGAUCAGCUUGCCGCGGUGAAUACGUUCCCGGGUCUUGUACACACCGCCCGUCACACCAUGGGAGCGGGUUCUGCCAGAAGUAGUUAGCCUAACCGCAAGGGGGGCGAUUACCACGGCAGGGUUCGUGACUGGGGUGAAGUCGGAACAAGGUA